CUUAUUUCUCAUUGGUCAGAGACUCAACCAUUAUAAGAAAUUUUUAUUAUCUAAACUAUCAUACGUAAAGAUCAAGUCUCAUACUCAACUCUUAUCAAACUAUCAAACUAAACAAUCAAGAACAAGCAACCAUACGUAAGAGACGAUCAAGAACAAGCAACCAUCCACGCAUAGACAAUCAAGUACUAGUAACCUAUUACCUAAAUUCUAUCAGCUAUAAGAACACAACAACACUACAACACAAGAAACAAAAAGAUCUAUGUACUAGUAACCUAUUACCUAAAUUCUAUCAGCUAUAAGAACACAAGAACACAACAAUACAAGAAACAAAGAGAUCUAUGUACUAGUAACCAAGUAUCUAAAUUCUAUCAGCUCUUAUUAUAAGCAAUGGAGACGACAUAAUAAAUAAAUAGAACAGAGACUAAC
Molecule: long non-coding RNA, 426 nt
Filed under: Brassica napus (rape)
Lineage: Eukaryota; Viridiplantae; Streptophyta; Magnoliopsida; Brassicales; Brassicaceae
Description: long non-coding RNA (BNAP_LNC015959)
Source: RNAcentral